RNAcentral lists this ribosomal RNA (256 nucleotides) under uncultured bacterium. RNAcentral's name for it is "partial 16S ribosomal RNA". It matches the Rfam family "Bacterial small subunit ribosomal RNA", at positions 28 to 273 of the family's 1533-position model. The record is from RNAcentral.
GACGAACGCUGGCGGCGUGCCUAAUACAUGCAAGUCGAGCGAAUCUUGAGGUGCUUGCACCUCUUGGUUAGCGGCGGACGGGUGAGUAACACGUGGGCAACCUGCCUGUAAGACUGGGAUAACACCGGGAAACCGGUGCUAAUACCGGAUAAUCCUUUUCUCUCAUGAGGAGAAGCUGAAAGUACGGUUUACGUCUGACACUUACAGAUGGCCCGCCGGCGCAUUAGCUAGUUGGUGAGGUAACGGCUCACCAAGG